GAAAGAAAGAAAGAAAGAAGGAGAUAUAGAUAGAGCUGCUCAUGUAAAGGAAAUAUUAUUUUUUACUAAUUAUAUUACAUAAUCUAUAUUUAUAUGUAGUAAUUAAUAAGAUAAUAAAACAAUUAACAGUCUCAUGGUUUAUGCUUCUGCGUGUAGAUGUAAUCUAUAUGAGCAGCAAGUGUCCUUCUCAUCAAGCACUGUUCUUCUCCAGCUCCUUCACAGCUUUCUUCUACCACCUCUGCCUCAUCAACAUCCUAUAUACAUAUAUAAGCCAAGAAAAAUAAUUAAAGAAACCCAAAUAUCAAAACCAUAUUUACAAUCAGAUCGUACAGAAACAAGUUAAGUUCAACCAACCUGUUGUUGGUCCUUGGCCAAGGAGCCAAUAGAAAAGCCUGGCUCGUGGCGGGCGGAGUAGGUUAGCGGCGCGGUGGAGCUGAGGAUAAGGGUUACCAGGAUAAACAGGGUGGCAACCUUAAGCUUAACCAUUUUUCUUUUUUCUCUUUUUAAGUUUCCUGUAAGAGAGAAGGCAAGAAGGAUAUUGAUAAGAUAAUUGAGAACUUGAGAGACAAAAGGAUAGUGUGUAUUUAUAGAAGCGGAGUAAACUAAUGGUGCAUGUGAACUCAAGAAGCUGGGAUGGAUUUCAACUAUAGCAGCUCAUUAAUCAGCACAUAUAUAACAAGUUAACAAUAUAUAUGUAAAAUGAAAAAUUAACCAAAUAUAUAUUUAAAAAAGAUUAUUCCAGAAAAGAAAAGGUAGAAUUGAAGAUAGACCACAGGAAUAUAUGCCCAAAAAGAGGGUUUGAAAAUCAUGGGUCGGGGGUGGUAUCGCCACAGAUUUGUUUUGCUUUUGCAUGUUCCUUCAAUUCUUAUGGAAUGACUUCCUCAACUUGGCUUUCUCAUUUGUGUGCCUCUUGGCUCUUUGCCAUGAGAAAAACAAAUGGGUAUAGAUUCGUUUAUUGAUUUUUAAUUGA
This 970-nucleotide unclassified non-coding RNA is filed under the name Hevea brasiliensis (rubber tree). Lineage: Eukaryota; Viridiplantae; Streptophyta; Magnoliopsida; Malpighiales; Euphorbiaceae. The record is from RNAcentral.